Molecule: ribosomal RNA, 253 nt
Filed under: uncultured bacterium
Lineage: Bacteria
Description: partial 16S ribosomal RNA
Rfam family: Bacterial small subunit ribosomal RNA
Source: RNAcentral
UACAGAGGGUGCGAGCGUUGUCCGGAAUCACUGGGCGUAAAGGGCGCGUAGGUGGUGACCUAAGCGUGCGGUGAAAGCCCGAGGCUCAACCUCGGGUCGGCCGUGCGAACUGGGUCACUGGAGCAGAAUAGAGGCAGGUGGAAUUCCGGGUGUAGCGGUGGAAUGCGUAGAGAUCCGGAAGAACACCGGUGGCGAAGGCGGCAUCCUGGACCGACACUGACGCUGAGGAGCGAAAGCCAGGGGAGCAAACGGG